Molecule: small nuclear RNA, 102 nt
Filed under: Mus pahari (shrew mouse)
Lineage: Eukaryota; Metazoa; Chordata; Mammalia; Rodentia; Muridae
Description: snRNA (MGP_PahariEiJ_G0033559.1)
Source: RNAcentral
GUUUCCUUCAGUGAUACAGAUAGUGAAGUUAGAAUGAUACAAAAAAAAGGUUAGCAAGGUGCUUGCUUAGGAGUGACAAGCAAAUUUGUGAAGCAUUCAUAU